ACACGUGUGCGGGCUGAGUCGCCGGGGCCUGGAGGGGGAACCGCGCGCUGCGGCUGCUGCGCUUGCUCCGUCCCCGGACGCCGCUGGCUUGCUUCCCUUGUCAGCUGUGUGGGGACUGGCAGAGGGUGUGAGAGCGGGAAACGACCGGACGAGCGGCGGGGAGCGUCCUGGGUGAGGAGGAGGAAGUCUGGUCUUAGGUGUGAAGGAUGCUGACGCGUUCCGGCGCGUCGCGGUGCCACUCUCGGCUUCUGAGCGUUGCCCUACGCCGCAGCGGGUUUUCCUCAGCUGUGAAGCGCGGCUGCGUCCUGCCCGGGCUUCCCCCCGCCGGGACGGUUCCAACGCCCGAGCCCAGCGGGCUUGGGCCUCCGCUGUCGGGCCAGGCUAGUUGCUCCGGGGCUGGGAGUUACGGCACCGGGGUUGGGGCGGAGAAGACGAACUAGUUCAACUCGACCCGGUUAAGCAAGCGCAGCAGUGUGUGUUCUUGGAUCAUAGUAUUUCAUGUAAACAUUUUGAUUUAAGAGAAACAAAAGGGAAAAUAUUAACCGUUUUCAAGCAUCCAAAGGCGAAAUGCUUCAUCUCUGGGAUGGAGUAGAGGAGUAGCCUCUGCGGUUGAGUUGCAGUCGUGGGUGCAAGAAGCAGCGCUGAAGCAGAGUGCAGCCCCGGAAUAGGGCGGGAUGGAAUGGCCUGGGCAGUUCAGAAACCCGCGAGGAGUCCAGGGCGGAACAGAAGGGGACACAUAGAUAAAUGUGCACAGAGGGAAGAAGGCCAUUUGGAGAUAGAAGCAGGGAUUGGAGUGAUGCAACUGGAAGCCAAGAAACGCCGCAGAAUGCCAGGAGCCAGCAGAAGCUAAGAAAAGGCAAAGAAGGAUUAUUCCAAAGUGCCUUCCGAAGAAGGUUGGCCCUGCCAAAAACCUGAUUUCAGACUUCUAGCCCCCAAAACUGCAAGAGAAUAAAUUUUGUUGUUUCAA
Molecule: long non-coding RNA, 967 nt
Filed under: Homo sapiens (human)
Lineage: Eukaryota; Metazoa; Chordata; Mammalia; Primates; Hominidae
Description: HSALNT0325287
Source: RNAcentral